This 329-nucleotide ribosomal RNA is filed under the name uncultured Anoxybacillus sp. Its description in RNAcentral is "bacterial SSU rRNA". It matches the Rfam family "Bacterial small subunit ribosomal RNA", at positions 1049 to 1382 of the family's 1533-position model. Lineage: Bacteria; Bacillati; Bacillota; Bacilli; Caryophanales; Anoxybacillaceae. The record is from RNAcentral.
UUGCCGUCAGCUCGUGUCGUGAGAUGUGGUUAAGUCCGCAACGAGCGCAACCCUCGACCUUAGUUGCCAGCAUUCAGUUGGGCACUCUAAGGUGACUGCCGGCUAAAAGUCGGAGGAAGGUGGGGAUGACGUCAAAUCAUCAUGCCCCUUAUGACCUGGGCUACACACGUGCUACAAUGGGCGGUACAAAGGGUCGCGAACCCGCGAGGGGGAGCCAAUCCCAAAAAGCCGCUCUCAGUUCGGAUUGCAGGCUGCAACUCGCCUGCAUGAAGCCGGAAUCGCUAGUAAUCGCGGAUCAGCAUGCCGCGGUGAAUACGUUCCCGGGCCUU